UACGAAGGGGGCGAGCGUUGUUCGGAUUUACUGGGCGUAAAGGGCGCGCAGGCGGCUCAUUUUGUCAGGCGUGAAAGCCCCGGGCUUAACCUGGGAACUGCGUUUGAUACGGAUGGGCUAGAGUUCGGGAGAGGAGAGUGGAAUUCCCAGUGUAGAGGUGAAAUUCGUAGAUAUUGGGAAGAACACCGGUGGCGAAGGCGGCUCUCUGGACCGAUACUGACGCUGAGGCGCGAAAGCGU
RNAcentral lists this ribosomal RNA (239 nucleotides) under uncultured bacterium. RNAcentral's name for it is "partial 16S ribosomal RNA". It matches the Rfam family "Bacterial small subunit ribosomal RNA", at positions 524 to 762 of the family's 1533-position model. The record is from RNAcentral.